AGACAGGUCUAAGCUACCUCUUUGCACCUGGGAACUCUGUGCCUUUUGAGAGUUGAAGGCUUAAAACAACAACAACCACCACAACAAAACUAUUCACCUUUUUAUCCAAUAGAAACUAAGGCUGUAAAGGAUGAUGCCCGGCAUCUGCUCAGCUUCUGAUGAGGCCUCAGGAAGCUUCCAAUCAUGGCAGAAGGCAAAGGGGAACCCAUGUAUCACAUAGCAAGAGCAGGAGCAAGAGAGGCGCGGGGAGAGGUUUUAAACCACGUCUUGCAAGAACUCACUAUUGCGAGGACAGUACCUUGGGGAUGGUGCUAAAUCAUUCAUGAGAAAUCUGCCCCCAUGAUCUAAUCACCUCCCACCAGGCCCCAACUCCGACACUGGAGAUUACAUUUCAACAUGAGAUUUGGGUGGGGACAAAUAUCCAGACUAUAUCGGGGCUGUACCAGCAAUUGACUCCUGACAUCUGUUCUGACUGGUCAGAGUCUGUUCUGAUAGGUUGGUGCCUCUACUGAUUAUUAAAUAUUUUAUGCUAUACCAAUUAUUAAAUAUUUUGAAAACCACCUACUGUUACAUGGGCUAUCAUAUUGCCUAGAAUAUUUGGUGAUGGUUUCAUAAAUGGAAAGCAAUUGAU
This 631-nucleotide long non-coding RNA is filed under the name Homo sapiens (human). RNAcentral's name for it is "HSALNT0319639". The record is from RNAcentral. Lineage: Eukaryota; Metazoa; Chordata; Mammalia; Primates; Hominidae.